Molecule: small RNA, 464 nt
Filed under: Pseudocercospora sp. 1 MS-2015
Lineage: Eukaryota; Fungi; Ascomycota; Dothideomycetes; Mycosphaerellales; Mycosphaerellaceae
Description: eukaryotic LSU rRNA
Rfam family: 5.8S ribosomal RNA (bases 170-323)
Source: RNAcentral
UGAACCUGCGGAGGGAUCAUUACUGAGUGAGGGCCUCCGGGUCCGACCUCCAACCCUUUGUGAACCAAUCUUGUUGCUUCGGGGGCGACCCUGCCGCUUCGGCGGUGCGGCGCCCCCGGAGGCCAUCAAACACUGCAUCAUUGCGUCGGAGUAAAAGUAAAUGAAACAAAACUUUCAACAACGGAUCUCUUGGUUCCAGCAUCGAUGAAGAACGCAGCGAAAUGCGAUAAGUAAUGUGAAUUGCAGAAUUCAGUGAAUCAUCGAAUCUUUGAACGCACAUUGCGCCCUCUGGUAUUCCGGGGGGCAUGCCUGUUCGAGCGUCAUUUCACCACUCAAGCCUGGCUUGGUAUUGGGCGUCGCGGUGCCGCGCGCCUUAAAGUCUUCCGGCUGAGCUGUCCGUCUCUAAGCGUUGUGGCAACUAUUCGCUUCGGAGGCCGGGCGGCCGCGGCCGUUAAAUCUUUCAC